Molecule: ribosomal RNA, 242 nt
Filed under: uncultured bacterium
Lineage: Bacteria
Description: partial 16S ribosomal RNA
Rfam family: Bacterial small subunit ribosomal RNA
Source: RNAcentral
CCACCUGGCGACAGGGAGCGGAACCCGAAAGCCUGUCUCAGUUCGGAUUGGAGUCUGCAACCCGACUCCAUGAAGCUGGAUUCGCUAGUAAUCGCGCAUCAGCCACGGCGCGGUGAAUACGUUCCCGGGCCUUGUACACACCGCCCGUCAAGCCAUGGAAGCCGGGGGUGCCUGAAGUGCGCUGCCGCAAGGAGCGCCCUAGGGUAAAACCGGUGACUGGGGCUAAGUCGUAACAAGGUAUC